CAGCAGCCGCGGGAAUACGAAGGGGGCUAGCGUUGCUCGGAAUGACUGGGCGUAAAGGGCGCGUAGGCGGAUUGCACAGUCAGAUGUGAAAUCCCGGGGCUCAACCCCGGAACUGCAUCCGAUACUGCCGCGCUAGAGGAUUGGAGAGGUAGCUGGAAUUCUUGGUGUAGCAGUGAAAUGCGUGGAGAUCAAGAGGAACACUCGUGGCGAAAGCGAGCUACUGGACAAUAUCUGACGCUGAGGCUCGAAGGCCAGGGUAGCGAAAGGGAUUAGAUACCCCGGUAGUCCCUGUCUCUUAUAC
RNAcentral lists this ribosomal RNA (301 nucleotides) under uncultured bacterium. RNAcentral describes it as "partial 16S ribosomal RNA". It matches the Rfam family "Bacterial small subunit ribosomal RNA", at positions 509 to 807 of the family's 1533-position model. The record is from RNAcentral.